This 192-nucleotide non-coding RNA is filed under the name Struthio camelus australis. RNAcentral describes it as "Connexin-43 internal ribosome entry site (IRES)". It matches the Rfam family "Connexin-43 internal ribosome entry site (IRES)". From Rfam's summary of the family: This family represents the connexin-43 internal ribosome entry site (IRES) which allows cap independent translation during conditions such as heat shock and stress. The record is from Rfam by way of RNAcentral. Lineage: Eukaryota; Metazoa; Chordata; Aves; Struthioniformes; Struthionidae.
AACUUUUACGAGGUAUCAGCACUUUUCCUUCAUUAGUGGGAAGGAAGGAUGAAAAAUACAAAACAGAAGUAGACUUUUAAAGUUUAAAUAGACAGGUCUGAGUGCCUGAACGUGCUCUUCCAUUUUACUUUAACCCUCCAAAGAAGUUUUCUUAUCCUGUUUCACUGCUGAUCAGCAAGGGUAAGUUGCAAG